ACCACUUUGUGAUUCAUGACUGGGGUGAAGUCGUAACAAGGUAACCGUAGGUGAACCUGCGGUUGGAUCACCUCCUUACCUUAAAGAAGC
RNAcentral lists this ribosomal RNA (90 nucleotides) under Salmonella enterica subsp. enterica serovar Carrau. RNAcentral's name for it is "partial 16S ribosomal RNA". The stretch from base 1 to 78 matches the Rfam family "Bacterial small subunit ribosomal RNA", at positions 1456 to 1533 of the family's 1533-position model. Lineage: Bacteria; Pseudomonadati; Pseudomonadota; Gammaproteobacteria; Enterobacterales; Enterobacteriaceae. The record is from RNAcentral.